Molecule: ribosomal RNA, 475 nt
Filed under: uncultured bacterium
Lineage: Bacteria
Description: SSU rRNA
Rfam family: Bacterial small subunit ribosomal RNA
Source: RNAcentral
AGGACGAACGCUGGCGGCGUGCUUAACACAUGCAAGUCGAGCGGAAAGGCCCUUCGGGGUACUCGAGCGGCGAACGGGUGAGUAACACGUGAGCAACCUGCCCCUGGCUCUGGGAUAGCCUCCGGAAACGGGGAUUAAUACCGGACAUGACCCUUUGACCGCAUGGUUGGGGGUGGAAAGUUUUUCGGCCAGGGUGGGGCUCGCGGCCUAUCAGCUUGUUGGGGGGGUGACGGCCCACCAAGGCGACGACGGGUAGCCGGCCUGAGAGGGCGACCGGCCACACUGGGACUGAGACACGGCCCAGACUCCUACGGGAGGCAGCAGUGGGGAAUAUUGCGCAAUGGGCGGAAGCCUGACGCAGCGACGCCGCGUGCGGGAUGAAGGCCUUCGGGUUGUAAACCGCUUUCACCAGGGGCGAAGCGAGAGUGACGGUACCUGGGGAAGAAGCGCCGGCUAACUACGCGCCAGCAGCCGC